Long non-coding RNA from Panicum virgatum (switchgrass), 4330 nucleotides. RefSeq lists it as uncharacterized. The transcript is spliced from 5 exons. The record is from RefSeq and is a predicted model, not a curated record. NCBI's taxonomy places the organism in Eukaryota, Viridiplantae, Streptophyta, Magnoliopsida, Poales, Poaceae.
CGUAACUGGGCCUCUUCGAGCUCAGCCAGCCCACGCCGCUGCGCUCUCCAGCGGAUCGCUCCGCCGCCGCCGGGACCCCGGCCCCGGCUCCGGUGCUGCCUCGGUGCGUCCACUGCUACGGCGCGCCUCCCCGAAUCGCCAGGCUGCAUCCAAGCGACCGGCCGUGCUCCAGCCUCCGCCUUCACCUCCCGUCCGGCCGGCCUGUCCCCUAACUUCGAAGCAGAGGUCCGCCGUAAAUGAAGGCAGGUUUAGCAGAAGGAGAUGGCUUCAGGCAUUGCAUCAUGCUUUUCCAGGGUUUUCUCCUCGAGCUGACUGCAGCCAACGGGCUUCUGAAAACGAUGAAAGCUUUUUUUUUAUGGCCUAGAGGCUGGAGAUGGUGUUGCUGGAUCAGUGGCUGAAACGUACCUGGAGCAGCAUAGCCAAUUGUUCCUCUCAUUCUAGCCCAAGCACUUGAUUUCUCAGAAGUGUCAUUGGAGUCUUCAUGGUAGAACCGUGCCAGCCCGAAAUCACCAACAUGAGCAACCAUGUCAUCAUUGAGGAGAAUAUUACUAGGCUUGAUAUCACAGUGGAUAAUUGGCAAUGGCUUGUGCUGGUGUAGAUAUUCAAGCGCAGAGGCCACAUCAAUAGAAAUGUCUAGUCUUUUGACAAGGUCAAGCACCUUGUAUUCACCAUCUUCCUCAACUGACUGAUGUAGCCACCGCUCUAGAUUCCCAUUUGGCAAGAACUCAAAUACAAGGGCUUUGAAGUCAAUGCCUCUUAAGUCCACACUUGAGCAGACUGUUAAGAUCUUCACAAGAUUGCGAUGUCUAACACAUCUCAAAGUCUCACAUUCUGCGGCAAAACUUUGAGAUGCCCCAUGUUGUUGGAGAUUCAACACCUUGACAGCAACUGUCACUUGAAGUUCUUCGAUCAUAAUCUUUCCCUUGAAUACCGAGCCAAAGCUCCCUGUUCCAAUGAGGUUCCCUGAAGAGAAGCUAUCUGUUGCACUGGAUAAUUCAGCAUAAGAAACCCUCACAUGGUGCUCGCUGAUUGUUGAUGUUUGGUGGUUAUCCUUUUUCUUCUUGUUCCAGUGGAAGAAUAUCAACAUCAGACAUAUGACAAACAGACAUGUGCUGCCUACAGAUACUGCUACAAUAAGCCUGAAAUAUGGCCUCUUGGUGGUGUGGGUGGUGCAAGGUGGCAGCUUCAACUGAGGGACGCCACCACAUAGGCCAUCAUUUGCUAUAAUUGUGGUAGAAGAUGCAUUGCUGAAAAUUCCAUCCUCUGGAACUUGACCUUUAAAGUUAUUGAAUGAGAUAUUGAAAAUAGAGAGACCUCUCAUCUUAGCAAAGAACUCAGGUAUGUUGCCAGACAAAUUGUUGUGGGAAAGAUCUACCACCAAAAGUCCUUUCAUCUGCUCCAGUGAUAGGGGAAUUGUCCCUUCAAGGUUGUUAUGUGAUGCAUUGAGAUACUGCAAUGAUUGGCACGCUCCAAGUGAGCCUGGAAUCUCUCCAUAAAUCUGAUUACCUGAGAAAUCAAGUUCCCCAAGAUUCUUGAGAUUACCGACUUCUAUAGGCAAAAUACCGGUUAAUAGAUUGCUUUGGAUGUCCAUAAAGUCAGACAAUGUGCUGAUAAGGAAAAGUUCUUUUGGUAUUGGACCUUCAAGUUUGUUGUGUGAAAGGUCUAAUCUUUGUAAAGGACAUCCAUUAAGACUAGAAGGUAUGCUUCCAUUAAGCAUGUUACCAUCGAGAUCUAGGGUGAGUAGUUUUGUAAGAUUGCCAAUGGUUGUAGGGAUCGAUCCUGAUAGGUCAUUCAUUUGUAGGUAUAAUUCAUUCAGUCCCUGUAGUCUUCCAAGAGAGCUAGGAAUGUUGCCCUCUAGAUGAUUGCCAGAUAGACUAAGCAUGUUUAUACCCACCAAGGAUGCUAAUUCUUCAGUAAUCUUUCCUGUUAUGUUAUUGAAGCGCAGGCUAAGACGCUGCAGAUUUCUAGAGAGGUUGCCUACUGAAUUUGGUAUCUCACCUUCCAACCUGUUAUAACUCAAAUCCAACAAUUGCAGAUCACUACAAUUGGCCAGGCUAGCCAAGAAACCCCAAUCAGCAUCUUGUGUUGCUUGGAUCUGAUUUUUUGCCAGGACCAAUGAAGACAAUCUCUUUAAAUGAGUUCCUAGGCAACUAGGAAUUGUUCCAGUUAGUAAGUUUUGCGCAGCUUCAAACAUCUGAAGCAUAGAGGAAUUGCACAAGAAGGUGGGAAUGGGACCGUGGAAUUGAUUAUAGUCUAUCAGGAAUUUCUCUAGAUGUGGAAGUCUAUUACCGUUGUCUGGUGGAAAAGAUCCAUUGAGGUAAUUAUUUCCUUGUACAGUAAAAAGCUCCAGGUAGGAAAGAUUGAACAAUGCUGGAGGUAACGGACCUUCUAGUUCAUUAUUAUCUAGGUCAAGUGUUUUUAGGAAGAGUAGGUUUCCAAUGGAAUUAGGUAUAGAACCUGUAAAAUUGUUGAAUGGAAGGCUAAGGCUUUCAAGUAUAUUUAGGUUCCCAAGUGAUUCUGGAAUGCUUCCAGUCAGAUAGUUUGCCCGAAGAUCUAAUAUUACUAAUGAUGUGAGAUUUCCUAAUUGAGAAGGGAUGCAUCCUGUCAGGUCAUUAGUUCCUAAUGCAAGCACUGUGAGAAAUGAUAGAUUCUGUAAUGGUGGAAUGCUACCUGUUAGAUUAUUUGUAUGCAGAAUAAGAACAGUUAAUGAUGAGAGAUUUCCUAGUGAUAUUGGGACAGAACCCCUCAGUUGAUUGGUACUUAGUGAGAACUUGCUUAGUUUAACAAGGUUACCUAUCUCAGUUGGUAUCUCUCCUGUUAGAUCGUUGUGUGCAAUAUACAGAAUCUCCAGGUUCGCAAGGUUUCCUAGUGAAGUUGGGAUAGAACCUGUAAGCUUGUUGUAGCUAACAUUGAGUACCUUGAGAUUGUGCAUGGACCCGAGUUCAUGUGGUAUCUCACCCUCGAGCAUGUUUUGGAAGAGCACAAUUGACUCUAGGUUUGACAAGGCGGCGAGCUCCCGAGGUAUCUUCCCUUGCAGGUUGUUACCUGGGAGGUGCAGCCUCCUCAAGAACGUCAAGUUGGCUACCGAAGAGGAGAUAGCUCCUGCAAGGCUCAGAUUUUCGAGCUCCAACUCUGUGACACGGCCACGACGGCUUCCCCGACUACCACAUGUCACGCCGCGCCAUUGACACAGAGGGAUAGAGUUGUUUCCCCAUGAUACCAGAGCUUGCGAUGGAUCUAACCUAAUGAGUGACUUGAAGAACAGCAGAGCAAGGUGGUCAGUGGCAAUAUUUGUGGCAAUUCCAGAUGACAAGGCUGAAUUUGUGCUAGCAACAAGUGAAAGGAAAAGGGGAACCAACAGGAAAGACCCAGCACCCACCAUUGCUUUGGGACUGCUGUGAUAUUUUCUGGUUACUGCAUGUUUUAUGUGUGAUGUGUUUCCUUCCAUGCAUAUAUGAAGCCACUGGAAAGCCUGCGAACAAUAUUUAAGGUACUAGCUUUCAUAUCUUUCUGCACGCAUCCAUUGUGGGGACGUUCUCCCAAUAUUUUGUAGUCCUGGAGUAUGCGGGAAUGAUAUACGUAGGUGAGUACCAUGCUUGCCUUCAAUUGCAUGCAAUGCAACUCUGAAGUCUGAACCUCUCAGAGCAUCUCCAACUUGCACAGUGAGCACCAAAAAAUUGAUUCUCUUGAAGUGUGGAGGCAACCGGGUCUUACUCCAAACUUGUCAAUUGGACAGAGUCAGCCUACGAAAUUUGUUUGUCCUUCCUGCGUGCCUUUGCUUUCCGUUAAUGUUGAUCACAAUUUGUUGACAAUAAUGUGUCCACUUGAUCUGCAACUGCAAAUGUCACUUUCAUGUAUUUAUGAGGGCCGAAAUUUUCUUCAUGCCUGCCGUCUCCAGUUGAUGGAUAGCGGCCAAAUCUUUCUUUUGACUAACCUUGCGCUGGCCAGCUGACCAGGGGGAAGAGUGAGGACCAGUCAGACAAGAACUGUGACUCCAGAGAAAACAGAGUAUAUGGGGCAGAGAAGAGGGGAGGAAGAAGGGCAAAGUCUUCUUUUGCCGACAGGCUUCUCUCGUUUAGAGAUAUAACAGUCGCACAGGAUUUGCAGAAGUUGUAAGCAGUGCCAAAGGGAUCAGAAAAAUUUCAAUUACUUGUAGUGGCUUAUGUGGAAUUCUCUCUAAGAAAUGUAUUUAGACAGAUUCCACCCAUUUAUUUACUUGUUUAAUACAACAUGUUGCAUCUGUUUCCUGAAAUGUAUUCUAAUAAUGCUGAUGUAAUUUUGAUUUGACUAAAAUAGUUGUACCCUUGGCAUGAUAAAAUCUAUUUUUCCA